This 497-nucleotide ribosomal RNA is filed under the name uncultured bacterium. RNAcentral describes it as "partial 16S ribosomal RNA". It matches the Rfam family "Bacterial small subunit ribosomal RNA", at positions 28 to 507 of the family's 1533-position model. The record is from RNAcentral.
GAUGAACGCUGGCGGCGUGCCUAAUACAUGCAAGUCGAGCGAACAGAUGAGGAGCUUGCUCCUCUGUCGUUAGCGGCGGAAGGGUGAGUAACAUGUGGAUCACCUCCUUAUCAGACUGGGAUAACUUCGGGAAACCGGAGCUAACACCGGAUAAUAUAUUGAACCGCAUGGUUCAAUAGUGAAAGACGGUUUUGCUGUCACUAAUAGAUGGAUCCGCGCCGCAUUAGCUAGUUGGUAAGGUAACGGCUUACCACGGCGACGAUGCGUAACCGACCGGAUCGGGUGAUCGGCCACACUGGAACGGAGACACGAUCCUGACUACUACGAGAGGCAGCAGAAGGGAAACUUCGGCAAUAGGCGAAAGCCUGACGCAGCAACGCCGCGUGAGUAACAAAAGUCUUCGGAUCGUAAAGCACUGUUAUUAGGGAAGAACAAAUGUGUAAUUAACUAUGCAGGUCGUGACGGUACCUGGUCAAAAAGCCACGGCUAACUACGUG